AAAAAGGCUUUACUAAAGGCCAUACACAAAACCGAAUACCUUUUA
Manacus vitellinus (golden-collared manakin) is the source of this 45-nucleotide non-coding RNA. The record is from Rfam. NCBI's taxonomy places the organism in Eukaryota, Metazoa, Chordata, Aves, Passeriformes, Pipridae.